RNAcentral lists this ribosomal RNA (251 nucleotides) under uncultured prokaryote. RNAcentral describes it as "partial 16S rRNA". It matches the Rfam family "Bacterial small subunit ribosomal RNA", at positions 525 to 775 of the family's 1533-position model. The record is from RNAcentral.
ACGGGGGGUGCAAGCGUUGUUCGGAAUCAUUGGGCGUAAAGAGCGUGUAGGCGGCUUAACAAGUCAGAUGUGAAAUCCCUGGGCUUAACCCAGGAAGUGCAUUUGAAACUGUUUGGCUUGAGUAAGGGAGAGGAAAGUGGAUUUCCUGGUGUAGCGGUUACAUUCCUAAAUAUCACGAGGAGCCCCGGAGGCGAGGGCGCCUUUCUUGUCCUAUUCUCAUGCUAAGACACGAAAGCGUGGGUAGGGAACAG